RNAcentral lists this ribosomal RNA (422 nucleotides) under Verrucomicrobiota bacterium. RNAcentral describes it as "Verrucomicrobia bacterium partial 16S ribosomal RNA". It matches the Rfam family "Bacterial small subunit ribosomal RNA", at positions 355 to 776 of the family's 1533-position model. Lineage: Bacteria; Pseudomonadati; Verrucomicrobiota. The record is from RNAcentral.
UGAGGAAUAUUGGUCAAUGGGCGAGAGCCUGAACCAGCCAUGUAGCGUGCAGGAUGACGGCCCUAUGGGUUGUAAACUGCUUUUAUGUGGGGAUAAAGUGCGUGACGUGUCAUGCAUUGCAGGUACCACAUGAAUAAGGACCGGCUAAUUCCGUGCCAGCAGCCGCGGUAAUACGGAAGGUCCGGGCGUUAUCCGGAUUUAUUGGGUUUAAAGGGAGCGUAGGCUGUCUAUUAAGCGUGUUGAAAUUUACCGGCUCAACCGGUGGCUUGCAGCGCGAACUGGUCGACUUGAGUAUGCAGGAAGUAGGCGGAAUUCAUGGUGUAGCGGUGAAAUGCUUAGAUAUCAUGACGAACACCGAUUGCGCAGGCAGCUUACUGUAGCAUAACUGACGCUGAUGCUCGAAAGUGCGGGUAUCAAACAGG